GAUGAACGCUGGCGGCGUGCCUAAUACAUGCCAGUCGAGCGAACAGAUGAGGAGCUUGCUCCUCUGACGUUAGCGGCGGACGGGUGAGUAACACGUGGAUAACCUACCUAUAAGACUGGGAUAACUUCGGGAAACCGGAGCUAAUACCGGAUAAUAUAUUGAACCGCAUGGUUCAAUAGUGAAAGACGGUUUUGCUGUCACUUAUAGAUGGAUCCGCGCCGCAUUAGCUAGUUGGUAAGGUAACGGCUUACCAAGGCAACGAUGCGUAGCCGACCUGAGAGGGUGAUCGGCCAAACUGGAACUGAGACACGGUCCAGACUCCUACGGGAGGCAGCAGUAGGGAAUCUUCCGCAAUGGGCGAAAGCUUGACGGAGCAACGCCGCGUGAGUGAUGAAGGUCUUCGGAUCGUAAAACUCUGUUAUUAGGGAAGAACAAAUGUGUAAGUAACUAUGCACGUCUUGACGGUACCUAAUCAGAAAGCCACGGCUAACUACGUG
Molecule: ribosomal RNA, 497 nt
Filed under: uncultured bacterium
Lineage: Bacteria
Description: partial 16S ribosomal RNA
Rfam family: Bacterial small subunit ribosomal RNA
Source: RNAcentral